Molecule: long non-coding RNA, 384 nt
Filed under: Phoenix dactylifera (date palm)
Lineage: Eukaryota; Viridiplantae; Streptophyta; Magnoliopsida; Arecales; Arecaceae
Description: long non-coding RNA (PDAC_LNC009931)
Source: RNAcentral
AAACAAAAACUUUUUUUAUUUUAAAAUGUAUUACUAUUAUUGUUAUUUAUUAUUUUAUAAAAAAUGAAAAUGAACACAUUUUUUUCUUUUUUUCUUUUUUUCUUUUUUCUUUUUUUUGGAUGAAAAUCAAGAUGAAUACCCCCAAACCUAAACCUAACAUUGUCCUCAAUGUUAAAGAAAUCUAAGGGAAUUGGGUUGUCUUCCAACAAGCGCUAAGUUUAUUGUCUUCAGCCAGACACAGUGAGGUAGUUUUUGCAUCUCCUUUUAUGAGGUCAUCUAUUUUGUCUAUUAUAAAACACUCAACUUCCCUCGCGGGUUGGUCGGCCGCAUUGAACACAUUUAAUUUUACCUUCAUGUUCCCAAAUGAUAUGUUCAUUACCCCCG